UGGGACAGUCGUGGUGGACCCCUGGCCCCCGGGCGAGCAGCACAGAGCGACACAGGAGCUCUGUGGUUGGGUUGGCUGUCCACCCCGUGGUUCAGUCCCUGUGGCUAAGCCAGGCAUGGGCAGGGCUCACGGGUGGUUCAACCAGGUGAGGGGGCACUUCUGGUUGGAGGUGUCCUGAGGGCCAUGGGUGGGGGACUCUAGAGUGUGCUGCUGCAGGGAGGGAGGUCCCGUGGGGAGUGCUCUGCAGCAGGAGGAUGUCCUACUGGGGGCAGAAAGUGCCUUUCAUUUGUUCCCAUGUGACAAGCCAGUGAGGACUUCUGUUGGGAGAGACUGAAUAUUGCUAAAGUGAGCUGAGCGCUGGGCGUAGAUUUCCUCACCCUCCAGGGAUGCAAAUCCCAGAGGAACACGAUGUGGACUCCUCUGGGUGCUGGGAACAAACAUGUGGCUAUAGAUCUCAGCCUCUCCCGAGAUUUCACUGCUGCACCCAGAGGAAAGGGGCCUCUGCGUUAGGAGGGUGCCCGCAUCCCCUAAAGGACCCAGCUGCCUGGCGCAUGGAUGGGCUGGGAGGCACUCCACUCCCAUCAGCCUCCCUGGGACCUCCACGAGCUCAGGGAGUUACUCCCCUGUCCCAGGCCCGUCCUCAGGGUCCAGCUAGGGACAGAGGAGGGGGCGGCUCACACCUAAGUACAGAUGCUCCCUGGUGACAGGGCUUCCUUCUGAUAAACCCAUCACAGGUGAAGGUGCCAUGAGCUGAGAGUACCCACACCACAGCUGAGCCACGCUGUACCCCGCAGAGUGUGGGUGAACCACAGGGCCACUGUCUAGCACCAUGAGACAGGGAGGCACCAGCCAUGGCCAGCUGGAGGAGACCCGGAAUCAAAAUCUGAGGGGCCAUCUCUACUGAAUGUGUAUUGCUUUAGAACCAUCCCAAAUAGAAAAAUUGUAAGUUGAACCAUUGUAAGCUGGGCCGUCUGUGUCCAGAGGCUGAGAAGCUGGAUGAGGACAAGGUCCAUGGCCCCUGGCUUCUUCCCAGUCUGGAGGCCUCGCGUUGUCCAUUCUGUGCUGCUGGAUCCCGGGCACAGCCCACUGUAAAUCCAGCAUCUGUGACAGUGUGGACUUCACAUGACUGAUUCAUUGCAGGAACAGAAGGUGCUGCCCUUCUUGAAUACCCUUUCUGCUCACUCUGAUGACCAGCUGCUCCGUCUUGCCCAGGGGAAGGGACCAG
Molecule: long non-coding RNA, 1225 nt
Filed under: Marmota monax (woodchuck)
Lineage: Eukaryota; Metazoa; Chordata; Mammalia; Rodentia; Sciuridae
Source: RNAcentral